GAUGAACGCUGGCGGCGUGCCUAAUACAUGCAAGUCGAGCGAGAAAUUAAGAAGAAGCGUUUCGGACAAUUCAUCUUAAUGGAAAGCGGCGGACGGGUGAGUAACGCGUAGGCAACCUGCCCUUAGCAGAGGGAUAGCCAUUGGAAACGAUGAUUAAAACCUCAUAACGCAUGACCAACACAUGUUGGAUAUGCCAAAGAUUUAUCGGCUAAGGAUGGGCCUGCGUCUGAUUAACUAGUUGGUGAGGUAACGGCUCACCAAGGUAACGAUCAGUAGCCGACCUGAGAGGGUGAUCGGCCACAUUGGAACUGAGACACGGUCCAAACUUC
This 329-nucleotide ribosomal RNA is filed under the name uncultured Clostridiaceae bacterium. RNAcentral's name for it is "bacterial SSU rRNA". It matches the Rfam family "Bacterial small subunit ribosomal RNA", at positions 28 to 339 of the family's 1533-position model. Lineage: Bacteria; Bacillati; Bacillota; Clostridia; Eubacteriales; Clostridiaceae. The record is from RNAcentral.